This 465-nucleotide ribosomal RNA is filed under the name uncultured bacterium. Its description in RNAcentral is "partial 16S ribosomal RNA". It matches the Rfam family "Bacterial small subunit ribosomal RNA", at positions 28 to 507 of the family's 1533-position model. The record is from RNAcentral.
GAUGAACGCUGGCGGCGUGCUUAACACAUGCAAGUCGAACGGAAAGGCUCCUGCUUGCAUGGGUACUCGAGUGGCGAACGGGUGAGUAACAAGUGGGUGAUCUGCCCUUCACUUCGGGAUAAGCCUGGGAAACUGGGUCUAAUACCGGAUAGGACCACAGCUUGGAUGGUGUGGUGGAAAGUUUGUCGGUGUGGGUUGACCUCGCGGCCUAUCAGCUUGUUGGUGGGGUAAUGGCCUACCAAGGCGUCGACGGGUAGCCGGCCUGAGAGGGUGUACGGCCAAAUUGGGACUGAGAUACGGCCCAGACUCCUACGGGAGGAAGCAGUGGGGAAUAUUGAACAAUGGGCGCAAGCCUGAUGCAGCGACGCCGCGUGGGGGAUGACGGCCUUCGGGUUGUAAACUCCUUUCGCUAGGGACGAAGCGCAAGUGACGGUACCUGGAGAAGAAGCACCGGCUAACUACGUG